AGAGUUUGAUCCUGGCUCAGGAUGAACGCUGGCGGCGUGCCUAAUACAUGCAAGUCGAACGAAGCGAUUUGGGAAAUUUAUUUUUCAGAUGGACUGAGUGGCGAACGGGAGAGUAAGACAUACGUACUCUGCCGUAAAGACUGAGAUAACUUUGAGAAAUUAAAGCUAACACCGGAUAGGAAUUAUUGAGGCGUCUUAAUAAUUUUAAAGGGGCUUAUGGCCUUGUUAUACGAUGAGCUUAUGGCGCAUUAGCUAGUUGGCAAGGUAAUGGCUUACCAAGGCAAUGAUGCGUAGCCGGCCUGAGAGGGUGACCGGCCACACUGGGACUGACACACGGCCCAGACUCCUACGGGAGGCAGCAUAUAGGGAAUUUUCGGCAAUGGGGGCAACCCUGACCGAGCGACGCCGCGAGAGUGAAGACGGUCUUCGGAUUGUAAAGCUCUGUUAUCAGGGAAGAAUAAGGUUAUCAGGAAAUGGAUAAUCGAUGACGCUACCUGAUCAGAAAUCCACGGCUAACUACGUGCCAGCAGCCGCGGUAAUACGUAGGUGGCGAGCGUCUAUCCGGAAUUAUUGGGCGUAAAGGUCGCGUAGGCGGUUAUUUAAGUUUAAGGUUAAAGUUCAUGGCUCAACCCUGUGAUUCCUUAUGAAACUGGAUAGGUAGAGUACAGGAGAGGUUAGUGGAAUUCCAUGUGUAGCGGUAAAAUGCGUAGAUAUAUGGAGGUACACCAGUGGCGAAGGCGGCUAAAUGGCCUGUAACUGACGAUAAGGCUAGAAAGCGUGAUGAAGAAAUAGGAUCAGAUAUCCUAGUAGUCCACGCCGUAAACGAUGGAUACUAAGUUUGGGAGAAUCUCAGUGCUGUAGUUAACGCUAUAAGUAUCCCGCCUGGGGAGUGUGCGCGCAAGCGUCAAACUCAAAGGAAUUGACGGGGGCCCGCACAAGCGCUGGAGUAUGUGGUUUAAUUUGAAGCAACGCGAAGAACCUUACCAGGUCUUGACAUACCACGCAAAAGCACAGAGAUGUAUUAUAGUUAUGGUGGAUACAGGUGGUGCAUGGUUGUCGUCAGCUCGUGUCGUGAGAUGUUGGGUUAAGUCCCGUCACGAGCGCACCCCUUCAUUGUUAGUUUCCAGCAUUCAGUUGGGCACUCUAGCGAGACUGCCGGUGAUAAACCGGAGGAAGGUGGGGAGGACGUCAAUUCAUCAUGCCCCUUAUUUCUAGGGGUACACACGUGUUCCAAUGGUGGGUACAAUAAGACGCAAGCCCGCGAGGGGGAGCAAUAUUGGAAACCCGAUCUCAGUUCGGAUGGUGGGCUGAAACUGGCUUCCAGGAAGCUGGAGUUGUUAGUAAUCGCGAUUCAGCAUGUCGCGGUGAAUACGUUCCCGGGCCUUGCACACACCGCCCGU
This 1400-nucleotide ribosomal RNA is filed under the name uncultured bacterium. RNAcentral describes it as "bacterial SSU rRNA". It matches the Rfam family "Bacterial small subunit ribosomal RNA". The record is from RNAcentral.